RNAcentral lists this ribosomal RNA (440 nucleotides) under uncultured bacterium. RNAcentral's name for it is "partial 16S ribosomal RNA". It matches the Rfam family "Bacterial small subunit ribosomal RNA", at positions 338 to 795 of the family's 1533-position model. The record is from RNAcentral.
CCUACGGGGUGCUGCAGUGGGGGAUAUUGCACAAUGGGGGGAACCCUGAUGCAGCGACGCCGCGUGGAUGAAGAAGCGCCUCGGCGCGUAAAGCCCUGUCAGCAGGGAAGAAAAUGACGGUACCUGAAGCAGAAGCCCCGGCUAACUACGGGCCAGCAGCCGCGGUAAUACGUAGGGGGCCAGCGUUAUCCGGAGUUACUGGGUGUAAAGGGGGCGCAGACGGCGAUGCAAGCCAGGAGUGAAAGCCCGGGGCGCAACCCCGGGACCGCGCUUGAAACUGCGUGGCGGGAGUGCAGGAGGGGCAGGCGGAAUGCCUGGUGUAGCGGUGAAAUGCGUAGAGAUACGGAGGAACACCAGUGGCGAAGGCGGAUUGCUGGACAGUAACUGACGCUGAGGCGCGAAAGCGUGGGGAGCAAACAGGAUUAGAUACCCUAGUAGUC